GUAGAUUCCUGAAUUGUUCCCCAUGCAAGCCCAGCUCCUAGCCCAGCAAACCCAAGCGCCCUAGAAAACGGAGUCGAAGGAACUUUCCUCUCCCUCGGCUUCCUCCUCUUCAAUUCCGUCGCCACUGCCGGCGCAACCUCUCCGCUACCCGCAUUUCGUUUAUCCUCCCGAUUCCGAGUCUGGAAACCAUCUUUCUCCAAAUCACCAAGUUCAUUCCUCGAAACCUGAUUGUCCUCAG
This 238-nucleotide unclassified non-coding RNA is filed under the name Hevea brasiliensis (rubber tree). The record is from RNAcentral. Lineage: Eukaryota; Viridiplantae; Streptophyta; Magnoliopsida; Malpighiales; Euphorbiaceae.